GGUUAAGCGACUAAGCGUACACGGUGGAUGCCCUGGCAGUCAGAGGCGAUGAAGGGCGUGCUAAUCUGCGAUAAGCGCCGGUAAGGUGAUAU
Molecule: ribosomal RNA, 92 nt
Filed under: Salmonella enterica subsp. enterica serovar Potsdam
Lineage: Bacteria; Pseudomonadati; Pseudomonadota; Gammaproteobacteria; Enterobacterales; Enterobacteriaceae
Also listed under: 15 other names
Description: partial 23S ribosomal RNA
Rfam family: Bacterial large subunit ribosomal RNA
Source: RNAcentral